CGAGUUUGAUCCUGGCUCAGAUUGAACGCUGGCGGAAUGCUUUACACAUGCAAGUCGAACGGCAGCACGGGGGCAACCCUGGUGGCGAGUGGCGAACGGGUGAGUAAUACAUCGGAACGUGCCCAGUCGUGGGGGAUAACGUAGCGAAAGCUACGCUAAUACCGCAUACGAUCUACGGAUGAAAGCGGGGGAUCGCAAGACCUCGCGCGAUUGGAGCGGCCGAUGGCAGAUUAGGUAGUUGGUGGGGUAAAGGCUCACCAAGCCUUCGAUCUGUAGCUGGUCUGAGAGGACGACCAGCCACACUGGGACUGAGACACGGCCCAGACUCCUACGGGAGGCAGCAGUGGGGAAUUUUGGACAAUGGGCGAAAGCCUGAUCCAGCCAUUCCGCGUGCAGGAUGAAGGCCCUCGGGUUGUAAACUGCUUUUGUACGGAACGAAACGGCCUUUUCUAAUACAGAGGGCUAAUGACGGUACCGUAAGAAUAAGCACCGGCUAACUACGUG
This 504-nucleotide ribosomal RNA is filed under the name uncultured bacterium. Its description in RNAcentral is "bacterial SSU rRNA". It matches the Rfam family "Bacterial small subunit ribosomal RNA", at positions 9 to 507 of the family's 1533-position model. The record is from RNAcentral.